UGGCGGACGGGUGCGUAACACGUGAGCAACCUGCCCUGAAGCGGGGGAUAGCCCUCCGAAAGGAGGAUUAAUACCGCAUGUGAUCUCCGGAUCAAAGACGGCUUCGGCUGUCGCUUCAGGAUGGGCUCGCGGCCUAUCAGCUUGUUGGCGAGGUAACGGCUCACCAAGGCGACGACGGGUACCUGGUCUGAGAGGACGAUCAGGCACACUGGAACUGAGACACGGUCCAGACACCUACGGGUGGCAGCAGUCGAGAAUCAUUCACAAUGGGCGCAAGCCUGAUGGUGCAACGCCGCGUGGAGGAUGAAGGCCCUCGGGUCGUAAACUCCUGUCAUCAGGGAGUAAGCCUUGUUCGUUAACAGCGUGCAAGGUUGAUAGUACCUGAAGAGGAAGGGACGGCUAACUUCGUGCCAGCAGCCGCGGUAAUACGAAGGUCCCAAGCGUUGUUCGGAAUCACUGGGCGUAAAGAGUAUGUAGGCGGUUCGGAAAGUCAGAUGUGAAAGCCCGGGGCUCAACUCCGGAACUGCAUCCGAUACUCCCGAACUAGAGUAGUGGAGGGGUGACUGGAAUUCUCGGUGUAGCAGUGAAAUGCGUAGAUAUCGAGAGGAACACUCGUGGCGAAGGCGAGUCACUGGACACUUACUGACGCUGAGAUACGAAGGCCAGGGGAGCGAAAGGGAUUAGAUACCCCUGUAGUCCUGGCAGUAAACGGUGCGCGCUUGGUGUGGGAGGAUUCGACCCCUCCCGUGCCGGAGCUAACGCGUUAAGCGCGCCGCCUGGGGAGUACGGCCGCAAGGCUAAAACUCAAAGAAAUUGACGGGGACCCGCACAAGCGGUGGAGUAUGUGGCUUAAUUCGAUGCAACGCGAAGAACCUUACCUGGGCUUGACAUGCUCGUCAUACCUCUCCGAAAUGAGAGGGUCGGUUCGGCCGGACGAUGCACAGGUGCUGCAUGGCUGUCGUCAGCUCGUGUCGUGAGAUGUUGGGUUAAGUCCCGCAACGAGCGCAAUCCCUGUGUCAUGUCGUCAGCACGUAAUGGUGGGGACUCCGGAUAGACUGCCCAGAUCAACUGGGAGGAAGGUGGGGAAGACGUCAAGUCAGUAUGUCCCUUACGCCCAG
This 1118-nucleotide ribosomal RNA is filed under the name uncultured organism. RNAcentral's name for it is "bacterial SSU rRNA". It matches the Rfam family "Bacterial small subunit ribosomal RNA", at positions 96 to 1211 of the family's 1533-position model. The record is from RNAcentral.